CUAUGUAGCAAGGUUAAGUACUUAAGGUAUGGAGCCGAAGGGAAACCGAGUCUGAAAAGGGCGAAAAGUUGCAUGGUGUAGACCCGAAACCGGGUGACCUAUCCAUGGCCAGGUUGAAGCGAGAGUAAAAUCUCGUGGAGGACCGAACCACGUUGGUGUUGAAAAACCAUGGGAUGAGCUGUGGAUAGCGGAGAAAUUCCAAUCGAACUCGGAGAUAGCUGGUUCUCCUCGAAAUAGCUUUAGGGCUAGCGUCGUGUAAUUGAGUAAUGGAGGUAGAGCACUGAAUGGGCUAGGGGCUAUAGUAGUUACCGAACCCUAUCAAACUCCGAAUGCCAUAUACUUGUAUCACGGCAGUCAGACUGCGAAUGAUAAGAUCCGUAGUCAAAAGGGAAACAGCCCAGACCAUCAGCUAAGGUCCCAAAGUGUAAGUUAAGUGGAAAAGGAUGUGGGAUUUCUAAGACAACUAGGAUGUUGGCUUAGAAGCAGCCACUCAUUUAAAGAGUGCGUAAUAGCUCACUAGUCAAGAGAUCCUGCGCCGAAGAUGUCCGGGGCUCAAACUUACCACCGAAGCUAUGGGUGUACACUAUGUGUACGCGGUAGAGGAGCUUUCUGUAUGGGUUGAAGUCGUACCGUAAGGAGCGGUGGACUGUACAGAAGUGAGAAUGCUGGCAUAAGUAGCGAGAAAUAAGUGAGAAUCUUAUUGGCCGAAAACCUAAGGUUUCCUGAGGAAGGUUCGUCCGCUCAGGGUUAGUCGGGACCUAAGCCGAGGCCGAAAGGCGUAGGUGAUGGACAAUCGGUUGAUAUUCCGAUACCACCUAUUUACGUUUGAGAAAUGGGGUGACGCAGUAGG
This 850-nucleotide ribosomal RNA is filed under the name Clostridium botulinum. RNAcentral describes it as "partial 23S ribosomal RNA". It matches the Rfam family "Bacterial large subunit ribosomal RNA", at positions 633 to 1481 of the family's 2925-position model. The record is from RNAcentral. Lineage: Bacteria; Bacillati; Bacillota; Clostridia; Eubacteriales; Clostridiaceae.